Long non-coding RNA from Mandrillus leucophaeus (drill), 832 nucleotides. RefSeq lists it as uncharacterized. The transcript is spliced from 4 exons. NCBI's taxonomy places the organism in Eukaryota, Metazoa, Chordata, Mammalia, Primates, Cercopithecidae. The record is from RefSeq and is a predicted model, not a curated record.
UGCUCUUCUGCCAUGAUCGUGAGGUCUCUCCAGCCAUAGGGAACUUUUUCAUCAGCUUUUCAUGUUUCACUGGGGAGUGCAUCCUCAGAGGUCAUCACACUAUCUUCUUGGAAUUGGAUCUCUUGAAUUUCAGUUUUAGAGGGAAAAACAACAUGCACUAUUCAUCUAUCUGUCUAUCUAUCUAUUUCAUCAUUAUUUUUUACCUCAUGGAUUGAAGCAAAUUUUAAAGGAAAAAAGAAUGUUAAUAAGAAAGAGCAGCACUUACUAUCAGGGAGGCACCUCACGAGCAUUGUGAACACUCAGAAUCUUCCAGGUGCAUUUUUAUAAUGACACUCUAUCAAGCCACUGAGAUCAACUGCCAGAGCUCAAUCUGCUACAGGAAUCUUGCUAGAAGAAAAGAAUGUUUCAUCAGAGACAGUCAUUCAUCCCGGCCCACACCUCUCCUGCUCUGAUCUUCCACUGUUAAAAGCAUAACACACUGGAGGAAGAUUGUGCUAUAUUUCAUGCGUGCUCUGCGCCACCACCAAGGGACAGUCCCAUCUGUUAUUUGCUCUCAGCUUUGCUUACUGAUAAAACAGGAAGGACAGCUUGCUGAUGGGCUCUUUGAAGCAAAUGGAUCCUCUCUUUCCUGCAAUUAAUGUUUAUAAAUUAUUUCUACAGUAGACAGCAUGUAUGGUACCAUGAUUUCAAAAUUAGUUUCAAUAAAUUAAGGGCCUGCAUUCAUUACAAGAGGAGCUUGAUUACAGUGCAACUCAUGGAGUUUACUGUUGCGCUCUACCUUUUGUGAAAAUUGCUGCAUGAAAUUAAACACUCUCAUUAAUUUUGUUGAUUA